UACGUAGGGUGCAAGCGUUAAUCGGAAUUACUGGGCGUAAAGCGUGCGCAGGCGGUUUUGUAAGUCUGACGUGAAAUCCCCGGGCUCAACCUGGGAAUUGCGUUGGAGACUGCAAGGCUAGAAUCUGCAGAGGGGGGUAGAAUUCCACGUGUAGCAGUGAAAUGCGUAGAGAUGUGGAGGAACACCGAUGGCGAAGGCAGCCCCCUGGGUCAAGAUUGACGCUCAUGCACGAAAGCGUGGGGAGCAAACAGG
This 252-nucleotide ribosomal RNA is filed under the name uncultured bacterium. RNAcentral describes it as "partial 16S ribosomal RNA". It matches the Rfam family "Bacterial small subunit ribosomal RNA", at positions 524 to 776 of the family's 1533-position model. The record is from RNAcentral.